UACGAACUGUGCGAACGUUAUUCGGAAUCACUGGGCUUACAGGGUGCGUAGGCGGCUUUGCAAGUCAGGUGUGAAAGCCCCCGGCUCAACCGGGGAAUUGCGCUUGAAACUGCAGGGCUCGAGUCAGCUAGAGGUGCACGGAACUUCCAGUGGAGCGGUGAAAUGUGUUGAUAUUGGAAGGAACACCGGAGGCGAAAGCGGUGCACUGGGGCUGGUCUGACGCUGAGGCACGAAAGCCAGGGGAGCGAACGGG
Molecule: ribosomal RNA, 253 nt
Filed under: uncultured bacterium
Lineage: Bacteria
Description: partial 16S ribosomal RNA
Rfam family: Bacterial small subunit ribosomal RNA
Source: RNAcentral